Arachis ipaensis is the source of this 187-nucleotide non-coding RNA. Lineage: Eukaryota; Viridiplantae; Streptophyta; Magnoliopsida; Fabales; Fabaceae. The record is from RefSeq and is a predicted model, not a curated record.
UUUUCUUGUCUCUGUUUCCAGGAAAUCAUUCAACUAUCCUUUUUCUCUCAACCUGAUGGCCCAGUGAUUAGAAAUGGCUCCUUUAAAUCGUCAUUCUUAUUUCCAGGUAUAAAAGAAGGAUUUUAUCUGGGUCCACCACCGAAAGAUAAGCUUCCCAAGAAUUCUACACAAGAUUUUGUAUUGUUAG